RNAcentral lists this transfer RNA (19 nucleotides) under Stenodactylus sthenodactylus (elegant gecko). RNAcentral's name for it is "partial tRNA-Cys". Lineage: Eukaryota; Metazoa; Chordata; Lepidosauria; Squamata; Gekkonidae. The record is from RNAcentral.
CCGGGGCUUUUCUCCCGUC